RNAcentral lists this long non-coding RNA (1105 nucleotides) under Heterocephalus glaber (naked mole-rat). RNAcentral's name for it is "lncRNA (ENSHGLG00000039063.1)". Lineage: Eukaryota; Metazoa; Chordata; Mammalia; Rodentia; Bathyergidae. The record is from RNAcentral.
GAAAGAUUCCAGCUUCUCAGAUAAACGUGCUUCUGUAAACUCUUAUGAACUUGCUUACAGCAUCUGGGUUGAGAUCAAGAGUUAUAUCCUCUCCCUGGGAACUGAUGUCUUGGCCUUAUUGAGAGUUGCUGAAAAAGUCAUGAAAGAGUAGAGGAAGAAAGAGGAAGAAAAUACUAUGGACUUAGAGAAGAAUUCAGAGGAAAAGUAAAGAUAGACACAGAAAAAGAAAGCCAGAGACUCAGGAGAUUGGAGGCUUCAUCUGUAUUCAUCAUGGUGUGACAUAAACCAGAGGAGCCACACCUUAAGACAGGCAUUGACGAGAACCAAAUUGUCUGCUUACACAUUUUGCAUAACUAAUGAUUAGAAAAGAUUCUCCGGAAGAAGCUUCUGUGAAUUUCAAGCCCUAUUGCUCUUGCCUACCAACACUUUGGUAUCAGACUACUGGGGAUUCGGGAAAUCUGACUUGAAACCAGCCUGAGGAAUACUGUGAAUAAAAGCUCUGCUUCUCAACCACCAUGAUCUAAGCAUCUUUGCUCUGCCAUGCCCUUCUGCUAUGACGUUCCUGCCUUGAAGUCAAAUAGCAAAGGGCUGAAUCCCCUGAAACUGCUGAAUGUGACAUCCUGGGGAAACUUCCUCCUGAGACACUGUGCCUGCCUCUCCUCUAUCAGAUAUUCUUAAUACUGCGGUGAUCUUCUGUUGGUCUCCCGCAUAUGAGCAUCACCGCCUAGAGGAUUCUACAGCUCAAAGGGUUAAUAAUUUCUGAAGAGGCCAAUUUGCGGUGAGAGCUGACCUGAAUACUGCUAUCCUUGGGGGCUGCUCUGGAUCAUUUGCACUGACUCAGAAACCCGGGCUUAAAGCACACUUCGAACAUAAGGCUGCUGCCCCAGAAGCAAGGAUCUGGGACCCAAGGAAGGAGCCCCAUCCAGAUGGCAGUCUCUCACUGAUCCAGCAACCAACAGAAGGUCAUUGUUGGAGGCAGAGAGCUGUGGCUGCACUAGGCUAUUUACUUGUUCUAGAGAUGCCACUGGCAGUGAAAUAGGUCACACCCUAUUAAUCUGACUGGUAGGAAGAUAAGUUUUGCAAGAGUCUGGCUGGAAGGAUUUUA